GCUAACUUAGUAUAAUAAUUACGUGAGACUGUAAAUCUUGAGAUAGUUUACACUAGUUGGAA
This 62-nucleotide transfer RNA is filed under the name Scutogyrus longicornis. RNAcentral describes it as "tRNA-Tyr". Lineage: Eukaryota; Metazoa; Platyhelminthes; Monogenea; Dactylogyridea; Ancyrocephalidae. The record is from RNAcentral.